GUGAAUCAUCGAAUUUUUGAACGCAUAUUGCACUCUCUGGUAUUCCGGAGAGCAUGCCUAUUCGAGGGUCAUUUGAACUAAUAUAAAUUCCAAGAUUUUUCGGAAUUUUCAAUGGGUUGCCCGUUUUUUGUGGUCGUCUAAAAUCCAAGACAAGCUCAUUUUCUUGGGCUGCGUGAUACUCUCAGUUACCUCCUGACU
Molecule: unclassified non-coding RNA, 198 nt
Filed under: Ambisporaceae sp.
Lineage: Eukaryota; Fungi; Glomeromycota; Glomeromycetes; Archaeosporales; Ambisporaceae
Description: partial contains 5.8S ribosomal RNA and internal transcribed spacer 2
Rfam family: 5.8S ribosomal RNA (bases 1-71)
Source: RNAcentral